GACGAACGCUGGCGGCGUGCUUAACACAUGCAGGUCGAACGGAAAGGCCCUGCUUUUGUGGGGUGCUCGAGUGGCGAACGGGUGAGUAACACGUGAGUAACCUGCCCUUGACUUUGGGAUAACUUCAGGAAACUGGGGCUAAUACCGGAUAGGAGCUCCUGCUGCAUGGUGGGGGUUGGAAAGUUUCGGCGGUUGGGGAUGGACUCGCGGCUUAUCAGCUUGUUGGUGGGGUAGUGGCUUACCAAGGCUUUGACGGGUAGCCGGCCUGAGAGGGUGACCGGCCACAUUGGGACUGAGAUACGGCCCAGACUCCUACGGGAGGCAGCAGUGGGGAAUAUUGCACAAUGGGCGGAAGCCUGAUGCAGCAACGCCGCGUGCGGGAUGACGGCCUUCGGGUUGUAAACCGCUUUCGCCUGUGACGAAGAGUGAGUGACGGUAAUGGGUAAAGAAGCACCGGCUAACUACGUG
This 468-nucleotide ribosomal RNA is filed under the name uncultured bacterium. RNAcentral describes it as "partial 16S ribosomal RNA". It matches the Rfam family "Bacterial small subunit ribosomal RNA", at positions 28 to 507 of the family's 1533-position model. The record is from RNAcentral.